AUUUAUAUUAACGAAGAAACAAAUACGGAUACUUUAUAUAUAUACGUACAAUAAUUCUCGAAAUAACCGACGAGCGUAUAAAAAGCGGCCACUUCUCGGGAUCCACGUGAUAAAUCAUUCUUUAUAGCGAGCACUUUUGCAACGAUAUUUCUUAUAGAAACAUCCGCGCUUCUACGCCGUAAACUUUUAACACAGCUCGCAAGAAAUGGAAAUAUUUGUUUCGAGAAGCGAUAUGUGAACGAGAAUACGAAAUUAUACAGAAUAAAUUUCUAUAUAAUUCUCUAUGGAAAAGUCUACGACAAGUUUGAAAAGUGGAGGAACGAUUCUUUUAUCCAAUUUUAAUCAUGGGGAGGAAAAUCAAAUUUUCUCAAGGGUCACAGGUGUGAUCGCAAAAAACGAGACUCACGGCAAACGGGUUAAACGAUUCAAGGGAAGCUGGUUCAAGAAUAGCUGAAUAGAAAUAGAGGAUGCACGGUGAAAUGCUGAAAGGCGAGGAAUAACUUCGCCACGAAACACCAACAAAGGACAGCUGUAUGCCGUAGCACCGCUAUAUUAAUGUCACUGCGAAAAA
This is a long non-coding RNA of Apis mellifera (honey bee), 571 nucleotides long. RefSeq lists it as uncharacterized. Lineage: Eukaryota; Metazoa; Arthropoda; Insecta; Hymenoptera; Apidae. The transcript is spliced from 2 exons. The record is from RefSeq and is a predicted model, not a curated record.